GUGCUUGCUUCGGCAGCACAUAUACUAAAUUGGAACGAUACAGAGAAGAUUAGCAUGGCCUCUGCUCAAGGAUGACAUGCAAAUUCCUUUUAUUUUU
Molecule: small nuclear RNA, 97 nt
Filed under: Chinchilla lanigera (long-tailed chinchilla)
Lineage: Eukaryota; Metazoa; Chordata; Mammalia; Rodentia; Chinchillidae
Source: RNAcentral